GACGAACGUUGGCGGCGUGCCUAAUACAUGCAAGUCAACUGAAAUACCGGUAGCAAUACUGGUAUGGAGGUGGCGCACGGGUGAGUAACACGUAGGUAAUCUGCCUUCAGGUCUGACAUAACCCAUCGAAAGGUGAGCUAAUAUCAGAUGAUGCAGCGGCUUGACAUCAAGACAGUUGUUAAAGCUUCGGCGCCUGAAGAUGAGCCNGCGUCUGAUUAGCUAGUUGGCGGGGUAACGGCCCACCAAGGCUGCGAUCAGUAGCUGGUCUGAGAGGAUGAUCAGUCACACUGGAACUGAGACACGGUCCAGCUCCUACGGGAGCAGCAGUAAGGAAUAUUGCUCAAUGGCCGAAAGGCUGAAGCAGCAACGCCGCGUGAGGGAUGAAGGGCUUUUGCUUGUAAACCUCUGUAGCGAGAGACAAAACUCCC
This 428-nucleotide ribosomal RNA is filed under the name uncultured bacterium. RNAcentral describes it as "bacterial SSU rRNA". It matches the Rfam family "Bacterial small subunit ribosomal RNA", at positions 28 to 455 of the family's 1533-position model. The record is from RNAcentral.